This is a non-coding RNA of Phalacrocorax carbo (great cormorant), 450 nucleotides long. NCBI's taxonomy places the organism in Eukaryota, Metazoa, Chordata, Aves, Suliformes, Phalacrocoracidae. The record is from RefSeq and is a predicted model, not a curated record.
UACACAACAACCUGCUGCAAACAGCCUGAGCUAAAAUACCUGACUUUCAAUAGGGCUUUCAACUCUUAAGAUUCCGGAUCCAGCUGCUGGUCUUCAAUUUUGGCUGCAACACGGGCAGAAAGCUGCAGCCUCUGUUGAGUACAACGGCAGGAGCAUGCAGAGAUAUUUUUGUCACAUUUUGUGAGAAGGGCUAAGGUUACAGACUGAAUACACCGUAUUCAUUGCAAGUAUCGAGCAAGACACAAGACUUGAGCUAAGAUUUCAGGUCAUCACUGAUAAACCAGUAGACAAAGACUACAUCAUGUCAUUAUGCUUACACAUAUACCUAAUGCUAGAAGUUAAGUAGUUCAGCUUGCAGUGGGAUCAGGGACUUGUCACAGGAGGAACAUCAAAAUACUCUUCAGCAUUGUUUUUACUUUAGAAAAAAGAAUAAAAGGGUGGCUUCUUUCA